Molecule: ribosomal RNA, 2905 nt
Filed under: Escherichia coli
Lineage: Bacteria; Pseudomonadati; Pseudomonadota; Gammaproteobacteria; Enterobacterales; Enterobacteriaceae
Description: 23S ribosomal RNA
Rfam family: Bacterial large subunit ribosomal RNA
Source: RNAcentral
GGUUAAGCGACUAAGCGUACACGGUGGAUGCCCUGGCAGUCAGAGGCGAUGAAGGACGUGCUAAUCUGCGAUAAGCGUCGGUAAGGUGAUAUGAACCGUUAUAACCGGCGAUUUCCGAAUGGGGAAACCCAGUGUGAUUCGUCACACUAUCAUUAACUGAAUCCAUAGGUUAAUGAGGCGAACCGGGGGAACUGAAACAUCUAAGUACCCCGAGGAAAAGAAAUCAACCGAGAUUCCCCCAGUAGCGGCGAGCGAACGGGGAGGAGCCCAGAGCCUGAAUCAGUGUGUGUGUUAGUGGAAGCGUCUGGAAAGGCGCGCGAUACAGGGUGACAGCCCCGUACACAAAAAUGCACAUACUGUGAGCUCGAUGAGUAGGGCGGGACACGUGGUAUCCUGUCUGAAUAUGGGGGGACCAUCCUCCAAGGCUAAAUACUCCUGACUGACCGAUAGUGAACCAGUACCGUGAGGGAAAGGCGAAAAGAACCCCGGCGAGGGGAGUGAAAAAGAACCUGAAACCGUGUACGUACAAGCAGUGGGAGCACGCUUCGGCGUGUGACUGCGUACCUUUUGUAUAAUGGGUCAGCGACUUAUAUUCUGUAGCAAGGUUAACCGAAUAGGGGAGCCGAAGGGAAACCGAGUCUUAACUGGGCGUUAAGUUGCAGGGUAUAGACCCGAAACCCGGUGAUCUAGCCAUGGGCAGGUUGAAGGUUGGGUAACACUAACUGGAGGACCGAACCGACUAAUGUUGAAAAAUUAGCGGAUGACUUGUGGCUGGGGGUGAAAGGCCAAUCAAACCGGGAGAUAGCUGGUUCUCCCCGAAAGCUAUUUAGGUAGCGCCUCGUGAAUUCAUCUCCGGGGGUAGAGCACUGUUUCGGCAAGGGGGUCAUCCCGACUUACCAACCCGAUGCAAACUGCGAAUACCGGAGAAUGUUAUCACGGGAGACACACGGCGGGUGCUAACGUCCGUCGUGAAGAGGGAAACAACCCAGACCGCCAGCUAAGGUCCCAAAGUCAUGGUUAAGUGGGAAACGAUGUGGGAAGGCCCAGACAGCCAGGAUGUUGGCUUAGAAGCAGCCAUCAUUUAAAGAAAGCGUAAUAGCUCACUGGUCGAGUCGGCCUGCGCGGAAGAUGUAACGGGGCUAAACCAUGCACCGAAGCUGCGGCAGCGACACUAUGUGUUGUUGGGUAGGGGAGCGUUCUGUAAGCCUGUGAAGGUGUGCUGUGAGGCAUGCUGGAGGUAUCAGAAGUGCGAAUGCUGACAUAAGUAACGAUAAAGCGGGUGAAAAGCCCGCUCGCCGGAAGACCAAGGGUUCCUGUCCAACGUUAAUCGGGGCAGGGUGAGUCGACCCCUAAGGCGAGGCCGAAAGGCGUAGUCGAUGGGAAACAGGUUAAUAUUCCUGUACUUGGUGUUACUGCGAAGGGGGGACGGAGAAGGCUAUGUUGGCCGGGCGACGGUUGUCCCGGUUUAAGCGUGUAGGCUGGUUUUCCAGGCAAAUCCGGAAAACUAAGGCUGAGGCGUGAUGACGAGGCACUACGGUGCUGAAGCAACAAAUGCCCUGCUUCCAGGAAAAGCCUCUAAGCAUCAGGUAACAUCAAAUCGUACCCCAAACCGACACAGGUGGUCAGGUAGAGAAUACCAAGGCGCUUGAGAGAACUCGGGUGAAGGAACUAGGCAAAAUGGUGCCGUAACUUCGGGAGAAGGCACGCUGAUAUGUAGGUGAAGCGACUUGCUCGUGGAGCUGAAAUCAGUCGAAGAUACCAGCUGGCUGCAACUGUUUAUUAAAAACACAGCACUGUGCAAACACGAAAGUGGACGUAUACGGUGUGACGCCUGCCCGGUGCCGGAAGGUUAAUUGAUGGGGUUAGCGGUAACGCGAAGCUCUUGAUCGAAGCCCCGGUAAACGGCGGCCGUAACUAUAACGGUCCUAAGGUAGCGAAAUUCCUUGUCGGGUAAGUUCCGACCUGCACGAAUGGCGUAAUGAUGGCCAGGCUGUCUCCACCCGAGACUCAGUGAAAUUGAACUCGCUGUGAAGAUGCAGUGUACCCGCGGCAAGACGGAAAGACCCCGUGAACCUUUACUAUAGCUUGACACUGAACAUUGAGCCUUGAUGUGUAGGAUAGGUGGGAGGCUUUGAAGUGUGGACGCCAGUCUGCAUGGAGCCGACCUUGAAAUACCACCCUUUAAUGUUUGAUGUUCUAACGUUGACCCGUGAUCCGGGUUGCGGACAGUGUCUGGUGGGUAGUUUGACUGGGGCGGUCUCCUCCUAAAGAGUAACGGAGGAGCACGAAGGUUGGCUAAUCCUGGUCGGACAUCAGGAGGUUAGUGCAAUGGCAUAAGCCAGCUUGACUGCGAGCGUGACGGCGCGAGCAGGUGCGAAAGCAGGUCAUAGUGAUCCGGUGGUUCUGAAUGGAAGGGCCAUCGCUCAACGGAUAAAAGGUACUCCGGGGAUAACAGGCUGAUACCGCCCAAGAGUUCAUAUCGACGGCGGUGUUUGGCACCUCGAUGUCGGCUCAUCACAUCCUGGGGCUGAAGUAGGUCCCAAGGGUAUGGCUGUUCGCCAUUUAAAGUGGUACGCGAGCUGGGUUUAGAACGUCGUGAGACAGUUCGGUCCCUAUCUGCCGUGGGCGCUGGAGAACUGAGGGGGGCUGCUCCUAGUACGAGAGGACCGGAGUGGACGCAUCACUGGUGUUCGGGUUGUCAUGCCAAUGGCACUGCCCGGUAGCUAAAUGCGGAAGAGAUAAGUGCUGAAAGCAUCUAAGCACGAAACUUGCCCCGAGAUGAGUUCUCCCUGACUCCCUGAGAGUCCUGAAGGAACGUUGAAGACGACGACGUUGAUAGGCCGGGUGUGUAAGCGCAGCGAUGCGUUGAGCUAACCGGUACUAAUGAACCGUGAGGCUUAACCUU